This 660-nucleotide long non-coding RNA is filed under the name Citrus x clementina. RNAcentral describes it as "Citrus clementina (C. clementina) long non-coding RNA (CCLE_LNC001173)". Lineage: Eukaryota; Viridiplantae; Streptophyta; Magnoliopsida; Sapindales; Rutaceae. The record is from RNAcentral.
UAAAUUUUAGGAUAAUUGUUUUUGGAAUUAAUUAAUAAUUAAGUUUUUCAUGUAACCCAGAAGGGGUCUUCUGCGAGGGUUGUCCGUAAAAUCUCAUUAGUACCUUAAAAUUCACAAUUAACUAAAUUUAGGUUAUUUCUCGUAUUCGGUUUCCAUUGGUUCCCUCAAGGACACGUCAGCCACGCCACCUGUCAGAGAAUCAUAGACUAAAUAGCUAAAAUUCAAAUUAAAAAAGUUUCGAGUCACAGCCAUGGAUGGACGAGGAAAACGACAAGUUCUAAUGAUAUCAUCACCUCAGGAUUGUGAACUCCAUCCAUCUUCACUGUACAAUAAAUUGAAUGGACCCAACAAUACAGAUCUAUCAAAAUGGGCCCUACCUUAGAUAAUAACUUUCCCUAUUGGUAAUAAGCAACGACGCUACGAACAAAGCAACUAAAAUUGAAAAGUUCGGAAUGAAAUAAUAACAUAUUAGCCCUUAAAUUCUGAAAAAAAUACAAAUAGGAAUAUAGCAUGUAAUUAUCUUGUCAUUAGAGUUCCUACCUUUUUUUUUUCUUUUUCAAUUAAUAACAUUUGCUACUCGUACAAAACAUGUCGAAUAUUAGACUUAUAUGAGCAUUAUUAUAUACUUUUUAGAUGUAUGAGUCUAUUUUGAGUUAUAUU